RNAcentral lists this ribosomal RNA (432 nucleotides) under uncultured bacterium. RNAcentral's name for it is "partial 16S ribosomal RNA". It matches the Rfam family "Bacterial small subunit ribosomal RNA", at positions 29 to 506 of the family's 1533-position model. The record is from RNAcentral.
AACGAACGCUGGCGGCAUGCCUAACACAUGCAAGUCGAACGAGACCUUCGGGUCUAGUGGCGCCCGGUGUCGUAAGCCGUGGGAACCUGCACUUAUGUUCGGCAUAACUCCCCGAAAGGGGUGACAAUACCGGACAAUGUCUUCUAACCAACGAUUUAUCGCCCUUGGUUGGGCCCGCGUUGGAUUCGCUGGUUGGUAGGCUAAAAGCCUACAAAGGCCACCAUUCAUAGCUGGACUGGGAGGAUGAUCAGCAACACUGGGAGUGGGACCCGUCCCGGACUCCUAGGGGAGGCAGCAGUGGGGAAGAUUGGACAACGCGCGAGAGCCUGAGGCAGCCGGGUCGCGAAAGUGAUGAAGGACGUAGGGUCGUAAAGCUCUUUUACCCGGGAUGAUAAUGAGAGAACCGGGAGAAUAAGCUCGGGCUAACUCCGU